RNAcentral lists this ribosomal RNA (497 nucleotides) under uncultured bacterium. RNAcentral describes it as "partial 16S ribosomal RNA". It matches the Rfam family "Bacterial small subunit ribosomal RNA", at positions 28 to 507 of the family's 1533-position model. The record is from RNAcentral.
GAUGAACGCUGGCGGCGUGCCUAAUACAUGCAAGUCGAGCGAACAGACGAGGAGCUUGUUCCUCUGACGUUAGCGGCGGACGGGUGAGUAACACGUGGAUAACCUCCCUAUAAGACUGGGAUCACUUCGGGAAACCGGCUCUAAUACCGUAUAAUAUAUUGAACCGCAUGGUUCAAUAGUGAAAUACGGUUUUGCUGUCUCUUAUAGAUGGAUCCGCGCCGCAUUAGCUAGUUGGUAAGGUAACGGCUUACCAAGGCAACGAGUCGUAGCCGACCUGAGAGAGGGAUCGGCGACACGGGAACGGAAACACGGUCCAGGCUCCUACGGGAGGCAGCAGUAGGGAAUCGUCCGCAAUGGGCGAAAGCCUGACGGAGCAACGCCGCGUGAGUGAUGAAGGUCUUCGGAGCGUAAAACUCUGUUACUAGUGAAGAACAAAUGUGUAAGUAACUAUGCACGUCUUGACGGUACCUAGUAAGAAAGCCACGGCUAACUACGUG